GAUGAACGCUAGCUACAGGCUUAACACAUGCAAGUCGAGGGGCAGCAUGGUCUUAGCUUGCUAAGGCCGAUGGCGACCGGCGCACGGGUGAGUAACACGUAUCCAACCUGCCGUCUACUCUUGGACAGCCUUCUGAAAGGAAGAUUAAUACAAGAUGGCAUCAUGAGUCCGCAUGUUCACAUGAUUAAAGGUAUUCCGGUAGACGAUGGGGAUGCGUUCCAUUAGAUAGUAGGCGGGGUAACGGCCCACCUAGUCUUCGAUGGAUAGGGGUUCUGAGAGGAAGGUCCCCCACAUUGGAACUGAGACACGGUCCAAACUCCUACGGGAGGCAGCAGUGAGGAAUAUUGGUCAAUGGGCGAGAGCCUGAACCAGCCAAGUAGCGUGAAGGACGACUGCCCUAUGGGUGGUAAACUCCUUUUAUAAAGGAAUAAAGUCGGGUAUGGAUACCCGUUUGCAUGUACUUGAUGAAUAAGGAUCGGCUAACUCCGUG
Molecule: ribosomal RNA, 490 nt
Filed under: uncultured bacterium
Lineage: Bacteria
Description: partial 16S ribosomal RNA
Rfam family: Bacterial small subunit ribosomal RNA
Source: RNAcentral